AUUGAACGCUGGCGGCAGGCCUAACACAUGCAAGUCGAGCGGAUGAAGGGUGCUUUCUCCUGGAUUCAGCGGCGGACGGGUGUGUAAUUCCUAUGAAUCUGCCUGGUAGUUGUUUAUUACGUCCGUUAACGGGCUCUAAUACCGCAUACGUCCUUAUGGUGCAAUUUGGUGUUCUUCGUACCUCACGCUAUCAUAUGAGCCUAGGUCGGAUUAGCUAGUUUGUUUGGUAAAGGCCUACCAAGGCGACGAUCCGUAACUGGUCUGAGAGGAUGAUCAGUAACAGUGGAACAGAGACACGGAAAAGACUACUACGGGAGGGAGCAGGGGGGAAUAGUGGACAAUGGGCGAAAGCAUGAUACAGCAAUGCCGAGUGUGUGAAGAAGGUAUUAGGAUUGUAAAGAACUUUAAGUUGGGAGGAAGGGAAGUAAGUUAAUACCUUGAUGUUUUGACGUUACCAACAGAAUAAGCACCGGCUAACUUCGUG
Molecule: ribosomal RNA, 484 nt
Filed under: uncultured bacterium
Lineage: Bacteria
Description: partial 16S ribosomal RNA
Rfam family: Bacterial small subunit ribosomal RNA
Source: RNAcentral